Molecule: unclassified non-coding RNA, 707 nt
Filed under: Hevea brasiliensis (rubber tree)
Lineage: Eukaryota; Viridiplantae; Streptophyta; Magnoliopsida; Malpighiales; Euphorbiaceae
Source: RNAcentral
ACUCUUUUGCUUACGUGGCCGCACCGCUAAAUUCAAUUUUCCGGAUAACCCACCGGAGAUAGCUGGUGGGCGAUCGCUUUCUCCACAUGAGAUUCAAGCAGCUGCUGCGAGAUUUGCAAAUUCGGAGCCUCCGAGGAGAACCCAGUCGGAUAAUUGUUUAAUGGAUCAAUCAGUUGUGACGGAAUCGCAAGCAGAGUCGCCGUGUGCUUCGGUUGUGUCAGAUUUGACUGCGCACAUAGAUGGCAAUGAACUGAUGAUGGAUAUCCCAUUCUUGGAUUCGCUAGCAAAUACGGGUUCGGGUAAUUACCCGGCGGAUUACGGUAUAUUCCCGGGUUUUGAUGAUCUUGGGAACGAUUUUUUUCCAGAAUUAACAGAACUUAGCUUGGACUCUGGAGAGGAUAACUUUGAUUGUGUUUUAAGCCAGGAUUCAUUUCUUUGGAAUUUCUAAGGAGAUAAAAUUCGGGUCAGAUAGUUUCUGGACAAUUUUAGUACCCAGAAGUUACUGACACCUUUUUUUUACCCGAAAAUGGCAAAUCGGGUACUGAUUAUUUAGAUGAUGGACCAUUUUUUGUAAAGGCCAUCAUUAGGGAAGUGCAAAAUUUCUUUGUUCAAUUCCUUAAGUAUAAAUAGAUCACAGACAACAACUUAAGUCUGUAAAUUUUGUAACUAGUUAAAUUAUCAGUUAUAAUAAGAGAGUUAUAAAUUGG